RNAcentral lists this ribosomal RNA (253 nucleotides) under uncultured bacterium. Its description in RNAcentral is "partial 16S ribosomal RNA". It matches the Rfam family "Bacterial small subunit ribosomal RNA", at positions 524 to 776 of the family's 1533-position model. The record is from RNAcentral.
UACGAAGGGUGCAAACGUUGCUCGGAAUCAUUGGGCGUAAAGCGCACGUAGGCGGCUUCGCAAGUCGGAUGUGAAAUACCUAGGCUCAGCCAAGGACGUGCAUCCGAAACUGCGAGGCUUGAGUACAGAAGAGGAUCGCGGAAUUCCCGGUGUAGAGGUGAAAUUCGUAGAUAUCGGGAGGAACACCAGUGGCGAAGGCGGCGAUCUGGGCUGAAACUGACGCUGAGGAGCGAAAGCGUGGGUAGCAAACAGG